RNAcentral lists this ribosomal RNA (506 nucleotides) under uncultured bacterium. RNAcentral's name for it is "partial 16S ribosomal RNA". It matches the Rfam family "Bacterial small subunit ribosomal RNA", at positions 29 to 523 of the family's 1533-position model. The record is from RNAcentral.
AUUGAACGCUGGCGGCAGGCCUAACACAUGCAAGUCGGACGGUAGCACAGGGGAGCUUGCUCCUCGGGUGACGAGUGGCGGACGGGUGAGUAAUGUCUGGGGAUCUGCCCGAUAGAGGGGGAUAACCACGGGAAACGGUGGCUAAUACCGCAUAACGUCGCAAGACCAAAGAGGGGGACCUUCGGGCCUCGCACUAUCGGAUGAACCAGGAUGGGAUUAGCUAGUAGGCGGGGUAACGGCCCACCUAGGCGACGAUGCCUAGCUGGUCUGAGAGGAUGACCAGCCACACUGGAGCUGAGACACGGUCCAGACUCCUACGGGAGGCAGCAGUGGGGAAUAUUGCACAAUGGGCGCAAGCCUGAUGCAGCCAUGCCGCGUGUAUGAAGAAGGCCUUCGGGUUGUAAAGUACUUUCAGCGGGGAGGAAGGCGAUGUGGUUAAUAACCGCGUCGAUUGACGUUACCCGCAGAAGAAGCACCGGCUAACUCCGUGCCAGCAGCCGCAGUAA